This 498-nucleotide long non-coding RNA is filed under the name Homo sapiens (human). Its description in RNAcentral is "HSALNT0084648". Lineage: Eukaryota; Metazoa; Chordata; Mammalia; Primates; Hominidae. The record is from RNAcentral.
UGUCAAGGGGAAAGGCAAUUAUGCCAUACUGCAAGCAAAUGAGCUGUGAAGCUGGUCCAGAAAUAAAAAGGAAAAAAAAAUCAGUUUGAUGAGGCAGGAUACCAUGCUGUGGAGACCCAUUUGGCAAGAAACUAAAGGCAGCCACCAUCCAAAUGCUAGGAAAAAGCUACAGCUUUCUGUCUGAUGGCAAAGGAGACACUGAAUCCAGUCAACAAUAACAGGAGUUUGAUGGAAGAUCCAUUCCCCAGUGGAGCCUCAGAUAACACCUCAAGUCUGGCCAACAUUCUGACUGUAAACUUAUGAGAGACCCUGAAGCAGAGAAUUCAGCUAAUCCAUGCCUGGGUUUCUGACUCUCAAAAAUUCUGAGAUAAUAAAUGCAUGUUGUUUUAUGCCUUUAAGUUGUGGUAAUUUGUUAUGCAGCUGUAGAUGACAUGCAGAUUCAAGUAUCUGAAAAUGAGGGGCUGCUCUGAAAACACUACAAAUGUGGGAGUGGCUUUA